This 465-nucleotide ribosomal RNA is filed under the name uncultured bacterium. RNAcentral's name for it is "partial 16S ribosomal RNA". It matches the Rfam family "Bacterial small subunit ribosomal RNA", at positions 338 to 795 of the family's 1533-position model. The record is from RNAcentral.
CCUACGCGCGGCAGCAGUGGGGAAUUUUGCGCAAUGCUCGUAAGAGUGACGCAGCGACGCCGCGUGAAUGACGAAGGCCUUCGGGUCGUAAAGUUCUUUCGACAGGGAAGAAAAUGCCUAUAAGUAACUGUGUAUGUAUUGACGGUACCUGUAUAAGCAGCACCGGCUAAUUCCGGGCCAGCAGCCGCGGUAAAACGGAGGGGGAGAGCGUUGUUCGGAGUGAGUGGGCGUAAAGAGCACGUAGGCGGUGUUGUACGUCAUUAGUCAAAGAGUAGAGCGCAACUUUAGUAAGGCUAGUGAUACUAUAAUAGUAGAGUAUCAGAGAGGAUUGCAGAAUUCCUGGUGUAGCGGUGAAAUGCGUAGAUAUCAGGAGGAAUACCGUUAGCGAAGGCGGCAAUCUGGCUGGAAACUGACGCUGAGGUGCGAAAGCGUGGGUAGCAAACAGGAUUAGAUACCCGGGUAGUC